RNAcentral lists this ribosomal RNA (253 nucleotides) under uncultured bacterium. RNAcentral's name for it is "partial 16S ribosomal RNA". It matches the Rfam family "Bacterial small subunit ribosomal RNA", at positions 524 to 776 of the family's 1533-position model. The record is from RNAcentral.
UACGGAGGAUGCAAGCGUUAUCCGGAAUUAUUGGGCGUAAAGCGUCCGCAGGUGGCACUUCAAGUCUGUCGUCAAAGACCGGGGCUUAACCAUGGAAAGGCGAUGGAAACUGAAAGGCUAGAGAGAGGUAGGGGUAGAGGGAAUUCCCAGUGUAGCGGUGAAAUGCGUAGAGAUUGGGAAGAACAUCGGUGGCGAAAGCGCUCUACUGGACCUCAUCUGACACUCAGGGACGAAAGCUAGGGGAGCGAAUGGG